AGGGGUGUAGCUCAGUUGGUAGAGCACUCGUCUCCAAAACGAGCGGUCGCAGGUUCGAGCCCUGCCACCCCUG
RNAcentral lists this transfer RNA (73 nucleotides) under bacterium. RNAcentral's name for it is "tRNA-Trp". It matches the Rfam family "tRNA". Rfam says of the family: Transfer RNA (tRNA) molecules are approximately 80 nucleotides in length. Their secondary structure includes four short double-helical elements and three loops (D, anti-codon, and T loops). Further hydrogen bonds mediate the characteristic L-shaped molecular structure. tRNAs have two regions of fundamental functional importance: the anti-codon, which is responsible for specific mRNA codon recognition, and the 3' end, to which the tRNAs corresponding amino acid is attached (by aminoacyl-tRNA synthetases). tRNAs cope with the degeneracy of the genetic code in two manners: having more than one tRNA (with a specific anti-codon) for a particular amino acid; and 'wobble' base-pairing, i.e. permitting non-standard base-pairing at the 3rd anti-codon position. The record is from RNAcentral.